AACGAACGCUGGCGGCAUGCCUAACACAUGCAAGUCGAACGAGACCUUCGGGUCUAGUUGCGCACGGGUGCGUAACGCGUGGGACCUGCCCCUUGGGUCGGAAUAACUUCCCGUAAGGGGUGCUUAAACCGGAUAAUGUUUUUGGACCAAAGAUUUUUCGCCUUUGGAUGGGGCCGCGUUGGAUUUGCUAGUUGGUAGGGGAAAAGCCUACCAAGGCGACGAUCCAUGGCUGGUUUGAGAGGAGGAUCAGCCACACUGGGACUGAGACACGGCCCAGACUCCUACGGGAGGCAGCAGUGGGGAAUAUUGGACAAUGGGCGAAAGCCUGAUCCAGCAAUGCCGCGUGAGUGAUGAAGGCCUUAGGGUUGUAAAGCUCUUUUACCCGGGAUGAUAAUGACAGUACCGGGAGAAUAAGCUCCGGCUAACUCCGUG
RNAcentral lists this ribosomal RNA (432 nucleotides) under uncultured bacterium. RNAcentral describes it as "partial 16S ribosomal RNA". It matches the Rfam family "Bacterial small subunit ribosomal RNA", at positions 29 to 507 of the family's 1533-position model. The record is from RNAcentral.